CAGCUCAGCAAGGCCUUUUCCAGAUCACUCAUCCAGUGGGUGUUUGGGUGAGAUGUGGCCUCGCGUUCAGUUUCUAAGCUGGAGCUUAUGACCCCCUCAAUGGGGUGGAAAUCCUAAAGCUUCGGUGGGCAUCAGAGUCUCUUGCUUAAAAGUGAACACCCCAGAGCCUCCCUCAGCUUCCAAUCUGUAGAUCAGAGUGGGCCUCAGAUUCUAAUGUAAGUGGCCUCUAGACACGAGCCCUGAUUCCUCUGAUCAUAAAGCACUCUUCAUAUGUCGGACAUUAUCAUUACAAGGAGCAGUAGUGUGCCGCUCAAGAGCUUUUACCUGCAUUUAUUUUAAGUUUUAAUUCACAGAUAAAAUUGCAUGUAUUUCCCGUACACAACAUGAUAUUGUGAAACCUGUAAUGAUUUCUACUUUUAUACCUAAGGUGAAAGUGCAGCACAGCUUGUUUAUAAGUUAACAGAAAUAACACAAUCUCAUACACACGCAUACAUGCGCGUGCAUGGAAAGAACAGAUCUGAUUCUACCCAAUUCAAUAGAUGACAGACAGAAAAUGCAUGAAAACUUCAGGGGCCGAGUAAACAUGU
RNAcentral lists this long non-coding RNA (587 nucleotides) under Marmota monax (woodchuck). Lineage: Eukaryota; Metazoa; Chordata; Mammalia; Rodentia; Sciuridae. The record is from RNAcentral.